RNAcentral lists this ribosomal RNA (281 nucleotides) under uncultured Staphylococcus sp. Its description in RNAcentral is "partial 16S ribosomal RNA". It matches the Rfam family "Bacterial small subunit ribosomal RNA", at positions 82 to 355 of the family's 1533-position model. The record is from RNAcentral. Lineage: Bacteria; Bacillati; Bacillota; Bacilli; Caryophanales; Staphylococcaceae.
CUCCUUGACGUUAGCGGCGGACGGGUGAGUAACACGUGGGUAACCUACCUAUAAGACUGGGAUAACUUCGGGAAACCGGAGCUAAUACCGGAUAAUAUUUCGAACCGCAUGGUUCGAUAGUGAAAGGUGGUUUUGCUAUCACUUAUAGAUGGACCCGCGCCGUAUUAGCUAGUUGGUAAGGUAACGGCUUACCAAGGCGACGAUACGUAGCCGACCUGAGAGGGUGAUCGGCCACACUGGAACUGAGACGACGGUCCGGACUCCUACGGGAGGCAGCAGUA